UACAGAGGGUGCGAGCGUUGUCCGGAAUCACUGGGCGUAAAGGGCGCGUAGGCGGCUCGGUAAGCGUGCGGUGAAAGCCCGGGGCUCAACCCCGGGUCGGCCGUGCGAACUGCAGAGCUGGAGCACUGUAGAGGCAGGUGGAAUUCCGGGUGUAGCGGUGGAAUGCGUAGAGAUCCGGAAGAACACCGGUGGCGAAGGCGGGUCUCUGGGCAGUAACUGACGCUGAGGAGCGAAAGCGUGGGGAGCGAACAGG
RNAcentral lists this ribosomal RNA (253 nucleotides) under uncultured bacterium. RNAcentral describes it as "partial 16S ribosomal RNA". It matches the Rfam family "Bacterial small subunit ribosomal RNA", at positions 524 to 776 of the family's 1533-position model. The record is from RNAcentral.